GACUACUGGGGUAUCUAAGCCUGUUUGCUACCCACGCUUUCGCUUCUCAGCGUCAGGAAAGGUCCAGAGAACCGCCUUCGCCACUGGUGUUCCUCCCGAUAUCUGCGCAUUCCACCGCUCCACCGGGAAUUCCAUUCUCCCCUACCUUCCUCAAGUCAGCCCGUAUCGAAAGCAGGCUUGGGGUUGAGCCCCAAGAUUUCACUUCCGACGUGACAAACCGCCUACAAGCUCUUUACGCCCAAUAAAUCCGGACAACGCUCGCACCCUACGUAUCACCGCGGCUGCUGGCACGUAGUUAGCCGGUGCUUCUUCUGUGGGUACCGUCAUUUUCACUUCGUCCCCACUGAAAGCGGUUUACAACCCGAAGGCCGUCAUCCCGCACGCGGUGUUGCUGCAUCAGGCUUGCGCCCAUUGUGCAAUAUUCCCCACUGCAGCCACCCGUAGG
RNAcentral lists this ribosomal RNA (445 nucleotides) under uncultured Brooklawnia sp. Its description in RNAcentral is "partial 16S ribosomal RNA". Lineage: Bacteria; Bacillati; Actinomycetota; Actinomycetes; Propionibacteriales; Propionibacteriaceae. The record is from RNAcentral.